RNAcentral lists this ribosomal RNA (400 nucleotides) under uncultured bacterium. RNAcentral describes it as "bacterial SSU rRNA". It matches the Rfam family "Bacterial small subunit ribosomal RNA", at positions 360 to 776 of the family's 1533-position model. The record is from RNAcentral.
AAUUUUGCGCAAUGGGCGAAAGCCUGACGCAGCAACGCCGCGUGAAUGACGAAGCCCUUCGGGGUGUAAAGUUCUGUCAGUAGGGAAGAAUUUUGACUGUACCUACAAAGGAAGCACCGGCUAACUCCGUGCCAGCAGCCGCGGUAAUACGGAGGGUGCAAGCGUUGUCCGGAAUCAUUGGGCGUAAAGCGUUCGUAGGCGGCAUAUCAAGUCUGGUGUUAAAGCCCGGGGCUCAACUCCGGUUCGGCACUGGAUACUGAUAAGCUAGAAUGUGGUAGAGGUAAUGGGAAUUCCUGGUGUAGCGGUGAAAUGCGUAGAUAUCAGGAGGAACAUCGGUGGCGUAAGCGCAUUACUGGGCCAUUAUUGACGCUGAGGAACGAAAGCCGGGGGAGCAAAUGGG